CACGUAGGCGGUUAGUCAAGCAUCUUGUGAAAUCCCUCGGCUCAACCGAGGAAUGGCCAGAUGAACUGGCUGACUUGAGCUGCACAGGGGCGACUGGAACUCUAGGUGGAGCGGUGAAAUGCGUAGAUAUCUAGAGGAACGCCGGUGGUGAAGACGGGUCGCUGGGUGCAUGCUGACGCUGAGGUGCGAAAGCGUGGGGAGCGAACGGGAUUAGAUACCCCGGUAGUCCACGCCGUAAACGAUGGGCACUAGGUUCAGGUGGGUUUGACCCCAUCCGGGCCGAAGCAAAAGUGUUUAGUGCCCCGCCUGGGGAGUACGGUCGCAAGGCUAAA
Molecule: ribosomal RNA, 332 nt
Filed under: uncultured bacterium
Lineage: Bacteria
Description: bacterial SSU rRNA
Rfam family: Bacterial small subunit ribosomal RNA
Source: RNAcentral